This 317-nucleotide ribosomal RNA is filed under the name uncultured sulfate-reducing bacterium. RNAcentral's name for it is "partial 16S ribosomal RNA". The record is from RNAcentral.
CCCGGUUAAGGCGGUCUGGAUGAUCUUGUUCGAGUAUUUUGUUCCUAUGAAUCUGCCCGCGCAGGUACGUAUCGCCCUGGCGUGCUGCUUGAACAUGUGUGGUGCGGUUCAUGCAUCCGAUAUCGCCAUCCUUGGUAUCCACCGUAAACCGCCGAUGAUCGAUAACGAUCGUAUUACCGGCGUCUGCGAAAUUCCUCUGGCCUUCGCCUCCUGUCCGCUCGGUGCAGUCAACCCCCCCAAGGGUACCAAUUCUGCUGGUGAGGAAUUGAAUUCGGUCAGGGUUAUUGCCGACCGCUGUAUUGUUCANGGGUAUGCUA